Molecule: long non-coding RNA, 1259 nt
Organism: Xiphophorus hellerii (green swordtail)
Lineage: Eukaryota; Metazoa; Chordata; Actinopteri; Cyprinodontiformes; Poeciliidae
Exons: 2
Source: RefSeq, a predicted model, not a curated record
CUGCUGCGGAUUCAGAAAAAAGAGCUCAUUUAGGAGAACCGGAAUCGGUACCGGUCCGAACUUCAUCUGGAAAACAUGUGAGCUUCAUCAUCAUCAUCAUCAUCAUCAUCAUCAUGGUUCAGCUGCUGAUUCUAGAACCAUCAGACCCAGCUGGUUCUGGUUCUGAUGGUUCUGGUGGUUCUGAUGGUUCCGGUUCUGAUGGUUCUGGUCCUCAGCAGCUUUCAGAGUUUAUGGAGGAAAAGAUGCUGGGAACCUCAGAAAAUAUCAAAAUAUUUAUUUAUUUAUUGUGUUAAAUGUUUCUGUAGAUUAUUUUUGUCCAAAAAUGUAAAAACUUCCAGCGGAAGUGAAUAAAGUCAAACAGGUUUCUGGCCUACGGAGCUCCACUAAGACCAAAAGUCAAAAAUGCCGUUUGUUCUUUUUCUUUCUUCCAUAGUUACAGGUACAGCAGGGAGUUGAUUGGCUGCCUGGACGGACGACUGGUUGACCGACUGGUUGACCGACUGGUUGACCGACUGGUGAAAAUCCAUGUGACCACCAGCAGCAGGAGGCCCAAACAGUGACCAGUCCGCCAUUAUGGAUGUGAUGUUACGACCCAGAGCCGUUCUGUCCCUGAACCCUGAUGAGACUUUGACUGAGCCCACACAUUUUUUUAAUUAAACAUUUUGAACGAUUGUGCAGAAUCACGUGGCAGGUACGUACAUGAUGAAGUCAAGUCUGAUAGGCUUAAGGCACACAUAAAAUUACAAGAUAACAAUAAAAAAGUAAAAUAAAAAUAGAAAUAAAUAGAAUUUGUCAGACAUCAAACAGAAAAAGACAGAGGAACUAGUUCUCAAAAAGAUCCAGUUCAUUAUCAGCUGAUUGUUCUGCUUGUUCUCCAUCAGUUUUAAGGCUCUGAAGGUUUUUAAAGUCAGUUUUUCUAUUUUCACAUUUACAGGAUCAGCAGGUUGUUCAGUACCAGAUCGGUUCUGGUCCAAAUGUUACAUCCUCUGUUUUUCAGAGGUGAGGCAGGAAGAGUUUAGUUGAGAUCCAGACCUGAAAGUUUCCCCAAAAGGUCCAUCUGUUGGUGUUAAAGUUGAAUCUUUGUGGUAAAAAUUCCCUGGAUGGAAAAACAUUAUUGAGGAUUUUAAUGAACUUUUUUAGCUUUAGGACUCUGAGGAGAUUUAAGGUCAGCAGUUCUCCACUUAUUAACCUUUGAACCAGGAAACGAAUUUAAAAUGGAGUUUUUAUUUGGUCAGACAGGAAAUAUAAAGUUAGUUAGA